This is a long non-coding RNA of Dendrobium catenatum, 931 nucleotides long. RefSeq lists it as uncharacterized. The record is from RefSeq and is a predicted model, not a curated record. The transcript is spliced from 2 exons. NCBI's taxonomy places the organism in Eukaryota, Viridiplantae, Streptophyta, Magnoliopsida, Asparagales, Orchidaceae.
AAGAAAAUUCCAUUGCCGGGAUUUGAAUCCGGGUCGCUGUGAAAGCCAGAUAUCCUAGCCGGACUAGACGACAAUGGAUUUUUCUUUACCCGUGUGCAAAAUUUCCUGGUGUUCUCCCUACUGUAGGCCAGGCGCAACCAGUUCUUCCAAAAAUACUAGUUGGUGAAGAGCUUCUGCAGUUGAAGAAUCACGAUAUUUACCUCUGUUACUUUGGGAAUUGGGAGUCGAUUUGUUCUGCAGCGUCAGUUCGAGAAUCCAUGCUGGAUCGUGACAAUUGCCAUGAUAGAAAUGAUAAAAGCAGCAAAUAGUUUGGUGAAGGUUGCUAAUCAACCUGAUGGUGGUGCAAGUCAAACAAAGAGGAAGAGGAUCCAUUGACAGGAAAAGGAUAAACUGGCCCAUUGGCGCUUUGAAGGUGAUAUUUAUAUCAUAUUUAUUCAUUCUUGGUGGAAGUUUGGUGGUUAAAUCGGAUCAUUUUACAUUUGAGGUGCUGACACAUGCGCUCCCCUCCUCUCUUAUGCCUAUUGAGUAUAUUUUUCUCUUAUUUUUGGAUGCUCGCAGAACGUAUAAAAUUUAAGCAUCAAAUGUAGAAAUAUAAGCAUAGAACUUUCUCUUAUCUGAUGGGAAACAUCAUAAUUUCUCUCUCGAAUGUUAUUAGAAGGAAAAGAAGUGGAAGACUAAAUUUUUCUUCCCUUUAGAUAUUCCCCUCUUCCUCGAAUUUUCUCGCAUAGAGGCAACCCUGUAAUCUUUUCUACAAGAUAGGAUCUCUUCUUCCCUCUCUAUAAUGAUCUUAAGCCAUGAGACAAAAAACACUUCAAAGCUCUGUGAUCAUUAUUCUUGUGAGUUCCUUUCACUAAUUAUCUAUGUUCAAAGAAUCUCCGCUUGAUUCUCUUUAAAAUCUGUGAACUCUCGAAUAUAAAGAUUUAGUUGUUCA